CAAUAGCGUAUAUUAAUGUUGUUGCAGUUAAAAAGCUCGUAGUUGGAUUUCUGGUGGGAGCGGCCGGUCCGCCGUAAGGUGUGUACUUGGUUGUCUCCUGUCAUCCUUGUGGGAACUGCUCUGGCAUUAAGUUGUCGGGGUUAGGGAACACAUCGUUUACUGUGAAAAAAUUAGAGUGUUUAAAGCAGGCUUAUGCCGUUGAAUACAUUAGCAUGGAAUAAUAAGAUAGGACUUUGGCGUCUAUUUUGUUGGUUUGCACACCAAGGUAAUGGUUAAUAGGGAUAGUUGGGGGUAUUCGUAUUUAAUUGUCAGAGGUGAAAUUCUUGGAUUUAUGAAAGACGAACUUCUGCGAAAGCAUUUACCAAAGAUGUUUUCAUUAA
RNAcentral lists this ribosomal RNA (380 nucleotides) under uncultured eukaryote. Its description in RNAcentral is "partial 18S ribosomal RNA". It matches the Rfam family "Eukaryotic small subunit ribosomal RNA", at positions 592 to 976 of the family's 1831-position model. The record is from RNAcentral.